GACGAACGCUGGCGGCGUGCUUAACACAUGCAAGUCGAACGGAAAGGCCCUGCUUUUGUGGGGUGCUCGAGUGGCGAACGGGUGAGUAACACGUGAGUAACCUGCCCUUGACUUUGGGAUAACUUCAGGAAACUGGGGCUAAUACCGGAUAGGAGCUCCUGCUGCAUGGUGGGGGUUGGAAAGUUUCGGCGGUUGGGGAUGGACUCGCGGCUUAUCAGCUUGUUGGUGGGGUAGUGGCUUACCAAGGCUUUGACGGGUAGCCGGCCUGAGAGGGUGACCGGCCACAUUGGGACUGAGAUACGGCCCAGACUCCUACGGGAGGCAGAAGUGGGGAAUAUUCCACAAUGGGCGGAAGCCUGAUGCAGCAACGCCGCGUGCGGGAUGACGGCCUUCGGGUUGUAAACCGCUUUCGCCUGUGACGAAGCGUGAGUGACGGUAAUGGGUAAAGAAGCACCGGCUAACUACGUG
Molecule: ribosomal RNA, 468 nt
Filed under: uncultured bacterium
Lineage: Bacteria
Description: partial 16S ribosomal RNA
Rfam family: Bacterial small subunit ribosomal RNA
Source: RNAcentral